AUCUUGCGCAAUGGGCGAAAGCCUGACGCAGCCAUGCCGCGUGAAUGAUGAAGGUCUUAGGAUUGUAAAAUUCUUUCACCGGGGACGAUAAUGACGGUACCCGGAGAAGAAGCCCCGGCUAACUUCGUGCCAGCAGCCGCGGUAAUACGAAGGGGGCUAGCGUUGCUCGGAAUUACUGGGCGUAAAGGGAGCGUAGGCGGACUGUUUAGUCAGAGGUGAAAGCCCAGGGCUCAACCUUGGAAUUGCCUUUGAUACUGGCAGUCUUGAGUAUGGGAGAGGUGAGUGGAACUCCGAGUGUAGAGGUGAAAUUCGUAGAUAUUCGGAAGAACACCAGUGGCGAAGGCGACUCACUGGCCCAUUACUGACGCUGAGGCUCGAAAGCGUGGGGAGCAAACAG
This 397-nucleotide ribosomal RNA is filed under the name uncultured bacterium. RNAcentral's name for it is "bacterial SSU rRNA". It matches the Rfam family "Bacterial small subunit ribosomal RNA", at positions 361 to 775 of the family's 1533-position model. The record is from RNAcentral.